Molecule: transfer RNA, 67 nt
Filed under: Lopidium concinnum
Lineage: Eukaryota; Viridiplantae; Streptophyta; Bryopsida; Hookeriales; Hypopterygiaceae
Description: partial tRNA-Leu
Rfam family: tRNA
About the family: Transfer RNA (tRNA) molecules are approximately 80 nucleotides in length. Their secondary structure includes four short double-helical elements and three loops (D, anti-codon, and T loops). Further hydrogen bonds mediate the characteristic L-shaped molecular structure. tRNAs have two regions of fundamental functional importance: the anti-codon, which is responsible for specific mRNA codon recognition, and the 3' end, to which the tRNAs corresponding amino acid is attached (by aminoacyl-tRNA synthetases). tRNAs cope with the degeneracy of the genetic code in two manners: having more than one tRNA (with a specific anti-codon) for a particular amino acid; and 'wobble' base-pairing, i.e. permitting non-standard base-pairing at the 3rd anti-codon position.
Source: RNAcentral
GGAGACGCUACGGACUUAAAAUCCGUUGGCUUUAUUGACCGUGAGGGUUCAAGUCCCUCUACCCCCA